This 358-nucleotide RNase P RNA is filed under the name Rhizopogon vesiculosus. Its description in RNAcentral is "Nuclear RNase P". It matches the Rfam family "Nuclear RNase P", at positions 68 to 301 of the family's 301-position model. From Rfam's summary of the family: Ribonuclease P (RNase P) is a ubiquitous endoribonuclease, found in archaea, bacteria and eukarya as well as chloroplasts and mitochondria. Its best characterised activity is the generation of mature 5'-ends of tRNAs by cleaving the 5'-leader elements of precursor-tRNAs. The record is from Rfam by way of RNAcentral. Lineage: Eukaryota; Fungi; Basidiomycota; Agaricomycetes; Boletales; Rhizopogonaceae.
AAGGUCUGAGUAUUUUAAUCCCCCUCGAUCGGCUCUAGCGGGGCCUGGCUGUAAUCAGCUGCGCGACGUACCAGAAAAGCAGCGUCAUUUUCAUAUCCCUAAGAUUCUGUUACCGCAGAGGUAGCAGAGGAGGGUGAAACUGAAAGCUUUGAAAGUGUCGCGGGGAUCGGGCAAACCUACAUCUAUCCAUCAUCUAGCAUUCAGUAGUCGCUAUCACGCAUGCACUCUCAUUGUGUAUGAGGUGGUUGGUGGCUGAUUGUAUGCGAUGACGGUAUACUGGCUUGUCCUUGAGUUCACUUCGUGGCUCGCGCAUCCUUCGUGGAUCGUGAAACUCGAUUCAGACUACUCUCGGGCUGGU